AUUGAACGCUGGCGGCAGGCCUAACACAUGCAAGUCGAACGGUAACAGGAAGCAGCUUGCUGCUUUGCUGACGAGUGGCGGACGGGUGAGUAAUGUCUGGGAACCUGCCUGAUGGAGGGGGAUAACUACUGGAAACGGUAGCUAAUACCGCAUAACGUCGCAAGACCAAAGAGGGGGACCUUAGGGCCUCUUGCCAUCGGAUGUGCCCAGAUGGGAUUAGCUAGUAGGUGGGGUAACGGCUCACCUAGGCGACGAUCCCUAGCUGGUCUGAGAGGAUGACCAGCCACGCUGGAACUGAGACACGGUCCAGACUCCUACGGGAGGCAGCAGUGGGGAAUAUUGCACAAUGGGCGCAAGCCUGAUGCAGCCAUGCCGCGUGUAUGAAGAAGGCCUUCGGGUUGUAAAGUACUUUCAGCGGGGAGGAAGGGAGUAAAGUUAAUACCUUUGCUCAUUGACGUUACCCGCAGAAGAAGCACCGGCUAACUCCGUG
RNAcentral lists this ribosomal RNA (490 nucleotides) under uncultured bacterium. Its description in RNAcentral is "partial 16S ribosomal RNA". It matches the Rfam family "Bacterial small subunit ribosomal RNA", at positions 30 to 507 of the family's 1533-position model. The record is from RNAcentral.